CAGUCGAGGGGUAUAGGUUUUCGGACCUAGAGACCGGCGCACGGGUGCGUAACGCGUAUGCAAUCUACCUUUUACAGAGGGAUAGCCCAGAGAAAUUUGGAUUAAUACCUCAUAGUAUAGCAACUUCGCAUGAAGUCACUAUUAAAGUCACAACGGUAAAAGAUGAGCAUGCGUCCCAUUAGCUAGAUGGUAAGGUAACGGCUUACCAUGGCAACGAUGGGUAGGGGUCCUGAGAGGGAGAUCCCCCACACUGGUACUGAGACACGGACCAGACUCCUACGGGAGGCAGCAGUGAGGAAUAUUGGUCAAUGGGCGCAAGCCUGAACCAGCCAUGCCGCGUGCAGGAUGAAGCAUCUAUGGUGUGUAAACUGCUUUUGUACGAGAAGAAACACUACUUCGUGAAGUAGCUUGACGGUAUCGUAAGAAUAAGGACCGGCUAACUCCGUGCCAGCAGCCGCGGUAAUACGGAGGGUCCAAGCGUUAUCCGGAAUCAUUGGGUUUAAAGGGUCCGUAGGCGGUUUUGUAAGUCAGUGGUGAAAGCCCAUCGCUCAACGGUGGAACGGCCAUUGAUACUGCAAGACUUGAAUUAUUAGGAAGUAACUAGAAUAUGUAGUGUAGCGGUGAAAUGCUUAGAUAUUACAUGGAAUACCAAUUGCGAAGGCAGGUUACUACUAAUGGAUUGACGCUGAUGGACGAAAGCGUGGGGAGCGAACAGGAUUAGAUACCCUGGUAGUCCACGCCGUAAACGAUGGAUACUAGCUGUUCNGAGCAAUCUGAGUGGCUAAGCGAAAGUGAUAAGUAUCCCACCCUGGGAGUACGUUCGCAAGAAUGAAACUCAAAGGAAAUGACGGGGGCCCGCACAAGCGGUGGAGCAUGUGGUUUAA
Molecule: ribosomal RNA, 884 nt
Filed under: uncultured bacterium
Lineage: Bacteria
Description: bacterial SSU rRNA
Rfam family: Bacterial small subunit ribosomal RNA
Source: RNAcentral